Molecule: long non-coding RNA, 565 nt
Organism: Mauremys reevesii (Reeves's turtle)
Lineage: Eukaryota; Metazoa; Chordata; Testudines; Geoemydidae
Exons: 3
Source: RefSeq, a predicted model, not a curated record
AACAGAUUUUCUCCAGACACAGAGAAGAGGCCAACAUCCCAGACCAGGUGUGGCCAGAUUCAAUGGGCUAUUCAUUUGUAUUACAGGUUGCAGGAAGAGAACAUUUACAGUGUAAAACAGCAGGAGGAAGCAUCAUAUUGGAGCACACCAGAGAACACUUUAAUCAAGAUGGAGUCGGCCCCACCAGAGGAGGAGACUGAAUACCCAGGGGAUCAAUUUGACCCUGGAAACAAAGGCAGAUUGAGAUAUAAGGACACCGUAAAAGGGUGGCACCCACCUCUUGUGAGCACCCCUUGGCCAGGUGCCUGCACUCAGUCUGUGGUGACCGGUCAGUGGUUUCUCAGGCUUUUCCAUGGAACUCACAGUGGUAAUAUCGGAGCACCACACAAACGUUGAGGUUAAAUGGCUUUUUCAGCAUGGGCUGGAGGAUGGAAGAGAAGAGUUCUACCUGUUUUUUUAUGAAUUUCCCCCACUGCAAUGUUGUACCUGUUAGAUUGUUACGUGAUGCGUAUAAAUCCUGCAUGCUGUAUUUCCUAAAUUAGGAAACUUGUCCUUGAAAUCUGGU